AGGCCACGCUCAUGUGUCUGGCCAACAAGGGCUUCCCCUCAGACUGGAGUCUGGCCUGGAAGGUGGACGGCAGCAGCAGCAGCAGCAGCAGCUGGGAGGAGAGCAGGAGCCCUGGGGUGCUGGAGAAAGACGGCCUCUACAGCUGGAGCAGCACCCUGAGGCUCCCUGCAGACCAGUGGAGGAAGGUGGGAUCUGUGACCUGUGAGGCCACCCAGGGCUCCCAGACCCCGCUCUCAGAGACAGUGAGGAGAGACCAGUGUUCCCAGUCCUGACCUGACUCACUGGGACAGCUGGCCUAAGCAGAGUAA
Non-coding RNA from Epinephelus moara (kelp grouper), 308 nucleotides. NCBI's taxonomy places the organism in Eukaryota, Metazoa, Chordata, Actinopteri, Perciformes, Serranidae. The record is from the annotation of a RefSeq genome assembly.